This 238-nucleotide ribosomal RNA is filed under the name uncultured bacterium. RNAcentral describes it as "partial 16S ribosomal RNA". It matches the Rfam family "Bacterial small subunit ribosomal RNA", at positions 30 to 267 of the family's 1533-position model. The record is from RNAcentral.
AUUGAACGCUGGCGGCGUGCUUAACACAUGCAAGUCGAUCGGUAACAGGUGUAGCAAUACAUGCUGACGAGAGGCGGACGGGUGAGUAAUGCUUGGGAAUCUGCCUAUUAGUGGGGGACAACUCGGGGAAACUCGGGCUAAUACCGCAUACGCUCUACGGAGGAAAGCCGGGGACCGCAAGGCCUGGCGCUAAUAGAUGAGCCCAAGUCGGAUUAGCUAGUUGGAGGGUAACGGCCUA